RNAcentral lists this non-coding RNA (26 nucleotides) under Rattus norvegicus (Norway rat). The record is from RNAcentral. Lineage: Eukaryota; Metazoa; Chordata; Mammalia; Rodentia; Muridae.
UGGUAGGGCAAUCAAGGGAGAUGGCU